Non-coding RNA from Populus trichocarpa (black cottonwood), 147 nucleotides. Lineage: Eukaryota; Viridiplantae; Streptophyta; Magnoliopsida; Malpighiales; Salicaceae. The record is from Rfam.
UCUAGAACUCGAGAUAUGGGCUGAACACUGAACUGUGUCUGGGCUGCAGGACAGAUUCGGACUUCUCCGUUGUUGCUACAAUUUGGACUUGAAAACGGCCUUUUUACCCCACAUGAAAGUUUUAGGCCUAUGUCUUAGCUUUCCAUC